UACGUAGGGUGCGAGCGUUGUCCGGAAUUAUUGGGCGUAAAGAGCUCGUAGGCGGUCUGUCGCGUCGAUCGUGAAAACUUGGGGCUUAACCCUGAGCUUGCGGUCGAUACGGGCAUGACUGGAGUUCGGCAGGGGAGACUGGAAUUCCUGGUGUAGCGGUGAAAUGCGCAGAUAUCAGGAGGAACACCGGUGGCGAAGGCGGGUCUCUGGGCCGAUACUGACGCUGAGAAGCGAAAGCAUGGGGAGCGAACAGG
Molecule: ribosomal RNA, 254 nt
Filed under: uncultured bacterium
Lineage: Bacteria
Description: partial 16S ribosomal RNA
Rfam family: Bacterial small subunit ribosomal RNA
Source: RNAcentral